RNAcentral lists this ribosomal RNA (403 nucleotides) under uncultured soil bacterium. RNAcentral's name for it is "bacterial SSU rRNA". It matches the Rfam family "Bacterial small subunit ribosomal RNA", at positions 26 to 433 of the family's 1533-position model. The record is from RNAcentral.
AGGACGAACGCUGGCGGCGUGCUUAACACAUGCAAGUCGAGCGGAAAGGCCUUUCGGGGUACUCGAGCGGCGAACGGGUGAGUAACACGUGAGUAAUCUGCCCAUCGCUUCAGGAUAGCCAUCGGAAACGGUGAUUAAUACUGGAUAUGACAUUCCUUCGCAUGUUGGGGUGUGGAAAGUUUUUUCGGCGGUGGAUGUGCUCGCGGCCUAUCAGCUUGUUGGUGGGGUAAUGGCCUACCAAGGCUUUGACGGGUAGCCGGCCUGAGAGGGUGACCGGCCACGACUGGGACUGGAGACACGGCCCAGACUCCUAGGGAGCAGCAGUGGGAAUAGUGGACAAGUGGGCGAAGCCUGAUCCAGCAACGCCGCGUGAGGAUGGACGGUCGUUCGGGUUAGUAACCUC